Molecule: transfer RNA, 73 nt
Filed under: Ailuropoda melanoleuca (giant panda)
Lineage: Eukaryota; Metazoa; Chordata; Mammalia; Carnivora; Ursidae
Rfam family: tRNA
About the family: Transfer RNA (tRNA) molecules are approximately 80 nucleotides in length.
Source: Rfam by way of RNAcentral
GCCCGGCUGGCUCAGUUGGUAGAGUGUGAGACUCUUGAUCUCAGGGUGAUGAGUUCGGGCUUCAUGUUGGGAU